GGCACUGUAGCUCAGUGGUAGAGUGCUUGCCUUGCACAUAUGAAGCAUUGGGUUCAAAACUCAGUGCCA
Molecule: transfer RNA, 69 nt
Filed under: Marmota marmota marmota (Alpine marmot)
Lineage: Eukaryota; Metazoa; Chordata; Mammalia; Rodentia; Sciuridae
Also listed under: 1 other name
Rfam family: tRNA
About the family: Transfer RNA (tRNA) molecules are approximately 80 nucleotides in length.
Source: Rfam by way of RNAcentral